UUUGCUCACACUCUAGCCUGUUCAAUGGCGAAUCCUAACGACGUCAGCAAGCUGUCGUCACCAGGAUACCGUUGAGAAGCCAGGUGGAACAGCCCUAAAGGUAUUCGUUGCAAUCCUCAAUCCCGACCACCACAUUCCGCUAAAGGUUAUAACACUCCCGAAGGAGCCACAUCCCUCCAGCCUUUUUAUGACGAUCGAAAUUGAUGUUAACCAGCGGACACGAAAGUGCUCCCCCUCGUCGCGAGAACGCAUACUGUGGCGGUUUUGAGGCUCGCCACAGCAUGCGUUCUCCCGACGAGAGGGUUGAUUUCGCGCCAGCACGACUG
This 326-nucleotide ribosomal RNA is filed under the name Entrophospora sp. Its description in RNAcentral is "partial large subunit ribosomal RNA". The record is from RNAcentral. Lineage: Eukaryota; Fungi; Glomeromycota; Glomeromycetes; Entrophosporales; Entrophosporaceae.